RNAcentral lists this ribosomal RNA (457 nucleotides) under Lemniscomys striatus (typical striped grass mouse). RNAcentral describes it as "partial 16S ribosomal RNA". It matches the Rfam family "Bacterial large subunit ribosomal RNA", at positions 1919 to 2550 of the family's 2925-position model. Lineage: Eukaryota; Metazoa; Chordata; Mammalia; Rodentia; Muridae. The record is from RNAcentral.
GAAGUUAAACGGCCGCGGUAUCCUGACCGUGCAAAGGUAGCAUAAUCACUUGUUCCUUAAUUAGGGACUAGAAUGAAUGGCUAAACGAGGGUUCUACUGUCUCUUAUUCUCAAUCAGUGAAAUUGACCUUCCAGUGAAGAGGCUGGAAUGAUAAAAUAAGACGAGAAGACCCUAUGGAGCUUAAAUUAACUAGCUUAACUAUUAAAAUAUAACCCAAAUGGACUAAACAUAAAAAAAAAUAAGCUAGCAAUUUCGGUUGGGGUGACCUCGGAGAAUAAAAAAUCCUCCGAAUGAUUCUAGCAUAGACUGACAAGUCAAAGUAACAGUUAAAAUCUUAUUGAUCCAAUUCUAUUGAUCAACGGACCAAGUUACCCUAGGGAUAACAGCGCAAUCCUAUUUAAGAGUUCAUAUCGACAAUAAGGGUUUACGACCUCGAUGUUGGAUCAGGACAUCCCAA